This is a long non-coding RNA of Diachasmimorpha longicaudata, 2438 nucleotides long. RefSeq lists it as uncharacterized. The transcript has 4 exons. The record is from RefSeq and is a predicted model, not a curated record. NCBI's taxonomy places the organism in Eukaryota, Metazoa, Arthropoda, Insecta, Hymenoptera, Braconidae.
ACUUCCCUGAACAGUACAAUUCAACAAACAUGAUUGACGCGACGUACGAAAAAAUGUGGUAAAAUGUAUAGUGUUACAAGUGUGCAAAGUGAUUUCUUCCACACGACCCCUGAGCUUUACGCACGAGUGAUUAAUUGCUAUGAAGUUGAGAUAUUAGGCACAUUGUUGACACCUCCCAUUGCCAUUUUCAUGGAGCGUGAUUGCUAGAACUACAUUCCAGGUAUCUCGCUCCACGCCCUACAAUAUAGCCGAUGUGACUAUGGACCUCAUCAGGUAGAGCCGUCACCAGAGAGUGUUGAUUUUUGCCCUUUUCAUGACUCUCCUACUUGCUGAGCCUUUCCUGUCAUAUGCCUCAAGUGUCUGGCCGAGUCUUCUUUGGUGGAGAACCAAUACCCCAAGUAAUUGAUCACGUCGACCCCUUCAGGUGCUCAGCUAUUAGGGCAACGUCGUCCGCAUACUUCAGGCAGGAAAUCCUGGCAUUUCCAAUCUAAGAGCCACCCACGCAAUUUUCUCCCAAUCUUCGUCGAUGGCAUCCAGCAUAACAUUAAACAGGAGCAGGCUGAGAGGGCUACACUGACUCUGACUCUUGUGCUCAUCUGGAACCUGUCCGUCGCUUCCUCCUCGGUCAUCACUUCACAGGGGAUCUUCAUCUCGUGACUUAUAAAUGGAACAAAUUCUGGACACUUGCCACCCCCCCUGGAAGUUUGCGGUCCUGACAGCUUCGAUUGAUGGGAGCUAACACACCCGAGAUCAUUUCUUCUGUAAAAGCCUUUAUGAUCUCAAUUAGAAGCUCAUCUUGCCUACGGCCUUGUUAUUUUCCAUGCCCUUCAGGGUAAGAUUCAGAUUGUGGAGGGAGAAGUCAGGAUUUAGUAGCAGCUCCCCAACACUCCCUGACGCAUUCUCCAGCUGCUAGGCAUCCACCAGGGGUGGUUCCCUUUCGACUCCUCACAACUAGGACGAGUAGUGAUUGAGUCAUCUCCUCCUUUUUCGCUCUGAAUUUGUUGAUAGCCUACUACCACUCUGCUAGGUUGAAACUCUCUUCAAUUUCUUUUGGGCUAUUUUCGAUCCAUCAGGCAAAUCUCCCUCAGGCAGGAACAGGGGGAAACUGAAGGUGAUCCCAGAAAAGGGAUCACCUUCACCAGGUGGAUUGGAGUUCAAAAUAAAUUUGUCUAACUUCCCGAAGAUCCAAUUGGAAAAUGUAUUGAAUUUAUAUAAUCAAUGAUGUCCUUUUUCCCUGGAGGUGAUCCCUUUUCAGGGAUCACCUUCAGUUUCUUUCUCUCAGUGCUUAGUACUCGCCUGUUCUGAGGAGGAUUUUCAGACAGUUCCCUACCCUUUUCGUCUGCAGUUUACACUUUUUAGUAAACCAUCUGGGCUCACCCAUAACCUUUUUAGGGUUCCUAAUCAUUCCUGCUCUGUCAACUGCGACUCGGAUCAUUUCUUUCACCUUUUCCCAAGUUCGGUCAUCCGUUCUCACUGUCGCUCUUGUUGGUAGAUCUCAGGCGUUUCUGUACUCCAUCGCAACCUCUUCGCUCGAGGUCCGUCUGCAUCUGCACGUCUCUCCGGUAGCUCUCCCUUCGUACUCUGAGAGCUGAAAGUCACCGGAAGAUGAUCGGAUUCUGUCCUGAUGGUUACCUUCAGUCACUCUACUCUCGGUCCCUCCAGGCUUUCCAUUGUCAGUACCAAAUGUAGCUCCGAACAACACCCCCUCUUCGUCCCGUUUUGCCCUACCGUUCAGUAUGAUGAAUCCUAAUUCUUGAUGAUUCUAUGAUGAAUCCCAACAAGGGAUAAAUUACAUUGCAAGUCGCUAUUUUGAGUCGCUGGAGUUCUAUCAAAAGUAAUAAUUGACAAGUGUUUGAAAAACAUUUUCCCAUGAAGCUGGGUUGAUGGGCAGCCUAUCGACCAAGGUUUUCCAUGGAUACCCUUGCUCAUCAAGAGAGUCUGUACGUGGUGUACAACUCCUGGGGUACAGUGCGACACGGUUAAUGAGGAAGUCAUCCCAUGAUAUUGGAAAAAUGUAGAAACCCGACUAGGGUGGAUAUAUGACAAGAAAAAAAUUAAACAAUUAGUCGACUGCAUUUUUUAUUUAAUUACACUCCAUUUCUAGUAAGCGCAUUAUCGUCCAAGAAAAUAGGCCUUGAAAUGCGAAUUUUGGGGUAAAUACUUGAAUUUUUUAUAUAAGUUACUUUGAAAGAUAUAAAAACGAAUUGGGAAAGAUUUUUGAAAAUUAAUCCCCCCCGGGGAGGGGGGGGGGUAUUAAUUUUGGGAAAACGGUAAGGACUAGGAAAAAAAAGUUUUAAUAGAAGUUGUAAAGCAUAAAAUAUUGCAUAAAAGUGAUUUCUAUACUUUUUAACUUUUAAGAAUGCUUUACACCUCUUCAACCCAAAUUCACGUUUUUUCUAUUUUUCCAACGAAUAAUCGAUUGGAUUAACGUGCAGAAA